Molecule: long non-coding RNA, 507 nt
Organism: Dromiciops gliroides (monito del monte)
Lineage: Eukaryota; Metazoa; Chordata; Mammalia; Microbiotheria; Microbiotheriidae
Exons: 3
Source: RefSeq, a predicted model, not a curated record
UGAAGAUUUGGAGAUAUUGCAUGAAAAUCCAAGUAAGACUGAUGAAAUGAAAAAGUCAUACAACAUAUUGUCUACUUUGGUAGACAAUAGCAUCACUACAAAGGAUGGAAUUGUUGACUAUGGAAAGAGUCGUCUCUAACUGACCCCAGCAAGCUGAUCGACCGUAUUUCUCCAUGGUUAUAAUGUCCUGCUCAGGGCCAGAGCAUCCCCAGCUGGACCCAGACCUACCAGGCUGCUACUGCAUUAGGAAUUUCCUGACUCUCUCUGAAUCAUGUAGUACCAUGAUGAUGAAGACUUUGACUCCAUGGUGACAAAGAGUUCAAUGGAUGGGAUUGAAGAGACAAAUGACCUCAAUCAGUUCAAACUACCAAUCAAGACUCCCAAAUUUUAAGUUGACUUUUCUGUUUUGUCCCCUCUUCCAUGUACUCCGUAAGCUGCUAUGGCAGUAACUGAUAGCAUAGAGUAAUUCCUCUAUCCUGGCUCUGCAGAAUUGUAGUUGCUAAUAUA